This 468-nucleotide ribosomal RNA is filed under the name uncultured bacterium. Its description in RNAcentral is "partial 16S ribosomal RNA". It matches the Rfam family "Bacterial small subunit ribosomal RNA", at positions 28 to 507 of the family's 1533-position model. The record is from RNAcentral.
GACGAACGCUGGCGGCGUGCUUAACACAUGCAAGUCGAACGGAAAGGCCCGGCUUUUGUGGGGUGCUCGAGUGGCGAACGGGUGAGAAACACGCGAGUAACCUGCCCUUGACUUUCGGAUAACUUCAGGAAACUGGGGCUAAUACCGGAUAUGAGCUCCUGCUGCAUGGUGGGGGUUGGAAAGUUUCGGCGGUGGGGGAUGGACUCGCGGCUUAUCAGCUUGUUGGUGGGGUAGUGGCUUACCAAGGCUUUGACGGGUAGCCGGCCUGAGAGGGUGACCGGCCACAUUGGGACUGAGAUACGGCCCAGAAUGCUACGGGAGGCAGCAGUGGAGAAUAUUGCAGAAUGGGCGGGAGCCUGAUGCAGCAACGCCGCGUGCGGGAAGACGGCCUUCGGGUUGUAAACAGAUUUGGCCUGUGACGAGGCGUGAGUGACGGUAAUGGGUAAGAAAGCACCGGCUAACUACGUG